This 453-nucleotide ribosomal RNA is filed under the name uncultured Sphingobium sp. Its description in RNAcentral is "bacterial SSU rRNA". It matches the Rfam family "Bacterial small subunit ribosomal RNA", at positions 8 to 507 of the family's 1533-position model. Lineage: Bacteria; Pseudomonadati; Pseudomonadota; Alphaproteobacteria; Sphingomonadales; Sphingobiaceae. The record is from RNAcentral.
AGAGUUUGAUCCUGGCUCAGAACGAACGCUGGCGGCAUGCCUAAUACAUGCAAGUCGAACGAGACCUUCGGGUCUAGUGGCGCACGGGUGCGUAACGCGUGGGAAUCUGCCCUUGGGUUCGGAAUAACUUCGGGAAACUGAAGCUAAUACCGGAUAAUGACGUAAGUCCAAAGAUUUAUCGCCCAGGGAUGAGCCCGCGUAGGAUUAGGUAGUUGGUGAGGUAAAGGCUCACCAAGCCGACGAUCCUUAGCUGGUCUGAGAGGAUGAUCAGCCACACUGGGACUGAGACACGGCCCAGACUCCUACGGGAGGCAGCAGUAGGGAACAUUGGACAAUGGGCGAAAGCCUGAUCCAGCAAUGCCGCGUGAGUGAUGAAGGCCUUAGGGUUGUAAAGCUCUUUUACCCGGGAUGAUAAUGACAGUACCGGGAGAAUAAGCUCCGGCUAACUCCGUG